Non-coding RNA from Mycena olivaceomarginata, 91 nucleotides. NCBI's taxonomy places the organism in Eukaryota, Fungi, Basidiomycota, Agaricomycetes, Agaricales, Mycenaceae. The record is from the annotation of a GenBank genome assembly.
GACCUGGUAGUGUAUGAUAACACACCUGUUGCACAUAAUUCUUUGCAAUGUAAUUCGGCAGGAGAACCCCGUUCGAUUCGGGGCCAGGUCA